Molecule: small RNA, 2762 nt
Filed under: Rattus norvegicus (Norway rat)
Lineage: Eukaryota; Metazoa; Chordata; Mammalia; Rodentia; Muridae
Description: uncharacterized LOC102551452
Source: RNAcentral
UUGUUUGGUUUGUUUUCCAUCCCUCAAACUGUCCUAAAAGUGUUCUUGCCCCUCCUUCCUAGUAUGGCUUUAAACUCUGUUAUUAAUGAAACUAGGAAACCCAAGAGAACCUCAGUUUUCCCACUCACACAGUCUCUUAAGAUGUAACAAUGGGACAAGGCUAAGCUGUUGACGGUCUUCUCUGAAUAAGGGUCUCCGCUGAUGUUCCUGCUGGUUUGGACACAGGACGCCCAAAGUGGGGCCUGGAUAGAGGAGGCUCCAUGAGGAAGAAGGUUCAGGUGGCCAGCAUUGUAUAUAGAAAUUCCUUCAAAUGCUGUGGGAGCCUGCUGUGGCUGAAACGAAAGAAAAAGAUUGAAUUCAACUUGCUGAAGAUGUUCCUAUGGAAGGUACUUUUGAGCCAAUGGAAAAUCACUUGUGAUGCUUCAACACUGGGUAAAAGGGAUGUAAUUCCCCCAUUUGCCUGGCAUUUUUUUUCUGACUGAAAAUUGUACAAACCAUGCUAAAACUCUGAGUUAUGGUCAUCUCCUGGCCACAGCUGAUUGUCCACCUAUGGGAUGCCAAUCUGCUAUAAUGUUAAAUUUUAUAGACUUUUAAGGCAUGCCCUGGAAAAGUUGCUCCUGUCUUGUGCUUUUUGUUUGAUCAACAACAUCCCUACUACAUAGACAGAUGUAUUGAGGAGAACGUAGGAUGUCCCUAUCAUUCAUGCAGAAUCCAUGAUGUUAGGAACUUAAGAAAUAAUGAGAUUAUUAUUCAAGGUCCCUAUCAGGGCCACAAUUUUUAUCACAUACCCCCAGGCUAUACUUGGGAUAUUUGGGAUCAUGGGAUUCUCGCUGGACUACACCAGUCUAGGUAGCCAUGUACAUGAAUAGAGAUAUAACCUGGCCUAGCAGCUAUGUCUAUAUUUGUCAUUCUCUUGUUCAAAUACAAACCACCAUCCAUGCAGAAAUCCAAGAACAAGAAAAAGUUAAAUACACAACUCACCUUCCCUUUUUCCUGGCUCUCUCUUCUCAGAGAAGGCCACAUGAUUGCCAACAUUACAGGUCUUGGCAAUGUUUCUGCCUGUUUCCUUUGUGCCGCGCUAGCACGUCCUCCUUUAACAGCAGUCCCAUAUCCCACCUCGUUUAAUGGCUCUAGUAAUAUUGAUAAAGGAUUUUCGCCCAUCUCUGAUCUAUCACUGUUUUUGGCUCCUGAUCGGGAACAAUUUAGCUUUUGCUAUUCUAAUGCUAGCACUACCUUGUGUAAUUUGACUAUUGUCCCAAAUACAGAUCUUUUUGCCCCUGAGGGGUUCUCUCUCUGGUGUAAUGGUACCUUUCCAAAAAUCUUUCAGCUCCUGUAAAUAAGGAGCUGCUGUGCCUUCCCUUUGCCUUACUGCCUCCGUUAACCCUUUGCACCCCAGCUGAAUAUCUAGGUUGGGCUGGUCUGCCAUCCUUAAGGAUGAAAUGGGCUGUUUUCUUACACCUGGUGGCUGGUAUCUCCCUUGCUAAAUCCAUUGUGGCUGCUGGCUUGGCAGGAGGAACUUUAGGACAUUCCCUUCUCCCCACUGCAAAACUUUCUCAACAGUUUCAUUUGGCAAUAGAGGCCUCAGCAGAGUCUCUGGCUUCCCUGCAAAGGCAGAUGAAUUCCCUUGCUCAGGUCACCUUACAGAACCAGUGAGCCUUAGAUCUCCUGACCAUGGAAAAGGGUGGAACAUGCCUGUUCCUGGGAGAAGAAUGCUGUUUCUAUGUCAACGAAUCUGGCUUGGUGGAAACCCAAGUUAAUAAAUUACACAAGCUCAGUAUUGAACUACAGAGACAGAAAUUUUCCUCUACCGCCUGUGAUUGGUGGAGAUCAUCUACGUUUUCUCUUUUGAUGCCCUUUGUGGGACCCCUGAUUAGUAUUUUGCUCUUGGUUACACUGGGACCCAUGAUUUUCAACAAGCUCAUGGCUUUUAUUAAUCAAUAAAUUGAGGCCAUUCAGGUCCAUUAUCAUCGCCUUGAGAUGAAUGAUCUAGGUGGGUCUUCUGCUCCCAACCACCUCCCCUGUGAGCUGAACUGGACAGUCAAUGAGGGGUAAGAGAGCAGCAUUCUCUGGUAUUUGAAGCCUAAGACAGGAGGGCCACCAUAAGCUGCUGUCUUAUCCAAUGACGGGCCUAGAGAAAUAAGAAGGUCGUGCUCCAAUCUAAGAGAGACACAGUUCCCUAGGGGCUCUCUCAUGGCUUGAAAUAAUAAAAAAGGGGGACCUGUCCGGGGCCACCCAGCCUGCUUAUACCUUUCUUUGCCUGAGCUAAGUGUUUUCCACUUCAUGGGCCCUUGUUUCCAAGUAGCAUACGUGGGGGUUACCACCAGUCAAAAAUACUGGAGACUUCCUGGUAGCUUGCUUUUACACAAGAAUGAGUUUCAUUCUAUUCUUAGUUAGAAACUUCAGAAAAUUGAAACUUAGUGUAGGUAAGAAGUUUUUGGGAAAUCAAAACUUAUGCCAUUGGUUUCUGAUGUGACAACGUUUAUCGUUACCCUGAUUACCAGUUUGUGUUGUAUGAUUUUUCUGCUUAUAAACAAGUGCUUUUUGCUUGAUUAAAUGAGACAUAAUCAGAAUAUUGUCUUGUCUCCACUUCUCGCGCCUCUUGUCCCAUCCCUCCCACUCCCCUCUCCAAGGUCUCUGUUGAUGUUCGGGCAGGCUGGGACAGUUUCCCUUCUUUGUUGGAGUUUUUCAUCUAUAAUCCUUUGAAGGGGUGGAUUUGAGAAAAGAUGUUGUCUAAAUUUGAUUUUGCCAUGGAAUAUCUUGGU